UGUAGUGACCCUGACUGCGAAGGGCACCGCUGCGAGAACGGCGUGUACGACCCGCAGCAGGAUGAUGGGGAUGAGAGUGCCGACGAGGACAGCUGCUCCGACCACAGCUCCAGCACCUCGAAGCCUCCACCAACCAGAAGGAGGGCAAGUACUGCGACUGCUGCUACUGCGAGUUCUUCGGGCAUGGAGGGCCUCCAGCUGCACCAACAAGUAGAAAUUAUGCAGAAAUGAGGGAGAAACUUCGCUUCACGGCUGACCAAGAGGAAAGAAGAGCAACCUAAAAAAAUGGAUCAGAUCUCAGAACGGGAAAGUGUUGUUGACCAUCGAAGGGUAGAGGAUUUGUUACAGUUUAUAAACAGCUCAGAGACCAAGCCAGUGAGCAGCACGCGUGCGGCGCCAAGCGAGCCAGGCACAAGCAGAGAAAGCUGGAGGAGAAGGCACGCUUAGAAGCCGAGGCCAGGGCUCGGGAGCACCUGCAUCUCCAGGAGGAGCAACAGCGACAGGAGGAUGAGGAUGAGGAAGAGGAAGAUGAGGAGCAGCGUUUCAAGGAGGAAUUUCAGCGGCUUCAGGAGCUGCAGAAGCUAAGAACUGUGAAAAAGAAGAAGAAAGAGAGGCCAAGCAAAGACUGUCCCAAGUUGGACAUGCUGGCCAGGAAUUUUCAGGCAGUGACAGAGUCUGUCCCUAACUCUGAAAACAUCCACAAUGGCUCAGUAGAGCCAACUGGAGAACCAGAAACCUCAUCUCGCUCCCCUUCCAGACACAUGAACCACUCAGAGCCGAGGGCAGGGCUGGGAACCAAUGAGGACACUGUAGAUUCUGUUGUGGACACCAGGGACUCCAAACUUCUCCUCCCCAAGGAGGUCAACGGGAAGCAGCACGAGCCACUUGCUUUUCUCUUCGACAUAAUGCAUCACCAUAAAGAGGGAAAUGGCAAACAGAAGCUAAAGACCACUAAGAGCAACAACGAACCAGCAAGGAAGACCACAGAGUCCCCCAGAGUGCUAGAGGGGCAGCCUAAGCCACGGGCCCAGAUGGAACCAAAAACUAAGGUGGUUGAACUCGCUUCCCUCACAGAGCAGAAAAAGAGAGGAGAGAAAAAGCCAAUAGUAACAACAAUAACAAAAAGCAACUGAACCACAUCAAGGAGGAAAAGUCAACCCCAGCGCUUCCUGAGCCCCUCUCCCCCAACCAGCAUCUGCAGAAUGGCCGGCUGGUACUGGCUGACUCUCCUCAGCCGAAGGGCAAGAGCAAGAAAAGCAAGAAGAAGAAAGGAGACCGAGCCAGCAGUUCAAUUGAUGAUGUCUUUCUGCCUAAAGAUAUCGACCUGGACAGUGUGGAUAUGGAUGAGACAGAGAGGGAAGUGGAGUAUUUCAAAAGGUGAGUGUGAGUCCCUCAUGGCCAAGACACUGUGGCCAGUGGGUGCCACACGUAGUUGGUUUUCUCUUUCCUCCUGUCCUGAACAAGUCUCAUCAGUGAGCCAACUGGCUGCUCAGCCAUGUUCCACACACACUUUCACAUCCGCCCCAACACGUCCCAGGAACAGUCGAUGGCUGUGGUCUUCAUGGGGCUAGACCAGCAGAGCUAUCUGGAGAAGCCUUCCAGGCCAUCCUCCUGUGUGACUUUUGCACACAGAGUGGCUGGCCUGCCUUUGAGAGAAAAGAAUCCCUGUAGAUACUGACUCAGCUUUCCUGAUGGUGACUCCUACUGUGUUCCAACAUACUUCAUCCACUCUGUAAACUUUGGCAACAGAAAUUUACUUUAAGGUGCCUUGUUUUUCCUUUGGAAAUACUUUACCUUCUUUGCUUUAAGUAAUACACACAGAAGAAGCAAAGUAAUGUAAAAAUUCAUGAACUUGAAGCCAGAUUUGUUGGUGCAUGCCUAUAAUCCCAGCACUCUGGAGGCUGAGGCAGGAGAAUUGCUGCGAGUUCAUGGCUACCCUGGCCUACGUACUAAGUUCAAGGCUACCCUGGACUACAUAGUGAGACCCUCUCUCAAAAAACAACAAAAAGAAAAAAAAAAAAAUUAAAAAAAAACAACUCAGUACUAAAACCAAACACUGUCACACUUUCAUAAAAAAAAAAAAAAAGAAAGAAAAAAAGAAAAAAUCAUGAACUCAUUCCUGAAAUAUUGGAAAAGUUUCAGUGUUCCUGGAAGUUAUACCUUUUAUAUGAUAUAUAUAAUACAGAUAUUAAUAGGUAGAGAAAAGUAUUCACGAAAGUAAAACAUCUGUUUCUUAUCAAAACUCUUAACAAAUAUGGACCAAAAUGCCAGAUCAUGUAAGAAAAGGGAAAAGUGUCCGUCUGCAGGAAAGGUGUGUGUCCCCGGGAGACGCGGGGGCUGUCCUGAGGGUUAGGGUCCAUUUCCACAGCUCCCAUUUGUAGUGGCCCGAAAAGAAGAAAACAGGGUAAGGACUUAGGAGGAAGACAUGAAACUCUUGUUAUUUUCAAAUGAUAGAGUGUAGGAAAUUAAGAACCUAUAGAUAAAUUACUUGAAUUAUUAUUAAAAUAUCUGAGCAAGGGUAUUUAGUAUAAAAUCAGUCCCCAGAAUUCUGCUUCAAUGUCACAGACACAGGAGUUUGUUUGGGUUUUUUUUUGGUAACAGGAAUCAAACUUGGAACCUUGCACUUGCAAGGCAGGGGGUGGAAUCACUGAGCUAAAUCCCUGGCCCGACACUUAGGAGCUUUAAAGGGACUUUGGGACCCUUUCCCUCACACUCUUGCCCAACCAUAGUCUUCUCUAGGCAUUUUGGUUUUUGUUUUUUUUUUUUUUGGUACCAGGAAUUGAACUCGGAACCUUGUGCUUGCAAAGCGGAGCCACUGAGCUAAAUCCCCAGCCCAGGCAUUUUGUUUUUUAAAGACAGGGUCUCGCUAUGUGGUUCAGGCUGGCCUUGAACUCACUAGGUGGCCCAGGCUGGCCUCGAACUCAUGGUUAUGCUCCUGCCUCAGCCUCCACAGUGCUGAGAUUACAGGCGUGUGCCACCACACAUGGGUAGGAUUUUCUUUUUUCUUCUUUCUUUCUUUUUUUUUUUUCCUGAGACAGGGUCUCGCUGUGUAGCCCAGGCUGGCCUGAAACUCAGAUGAUCCUUCUGCCUCAGCCUCAGCCUCCUGAGUGCUGGGAUUACAGAUAUGCACCACCACGCCUGGCAGGUAGGAGUAUUUUAAAAUCCUAAAACAAGCAGGAGAGUUCUAUAAGAACCACCUCUCCUCAGUGCUCCCAAAGCAGCAGACAUCCCAGUUCUCCAGGAGGCUGAGGCAGGAGGAUGGCAAGUUCGAGCCCAGCCUGAGCAAUUUCACAACUUAGUGAGACCCUCUCUCAAAAUAAGAAAUUAUAGUGGGCCGAGAAUUUAGCUCAGUGGCACCGUGCCUGCCUUGCAAGUGCAAGGUCCUGAGUUUGAUCCCCAGAACCUAAAAAGAAAAAAGAAAUUAAAGUUUUUACUUUCAUGUUUGAAAAAUUCCAUAUUAAAGAGAUUCUUUAAUUUUGUACACACAUAAGUCAUAAGGAAGAAAUAAAUACAUAUACUACAGCCAUUAAAGUAAGAACACUGGAAAUAGCUUCACUGCAGUUGAUUUUAAAACAGAAGUGGAAUCAUGUACAAAAUAAAUCAACCCAAGGGAAAAUAACAAGGCUGAGUGGUGGGAAACUGCUAGAGCCAUCGAGUAGUAGCCAUGAGUCCUCUCCACGGGAAGCUGCAUACUGCCACGUCACAAAGGUGUUUUCCUGCCUGUCCGAGAGUGGAAGGGAACUUCAACCCAAGGGCGACAGCACUGGCAAAGGGAAUGCCCCACUUCACUGUACAGGACCAGUACUGUUGCCAUACCCAGGUCUGCCACAGAGCACCAGAGAAAAGGAAAAACUAGCAGAUUGUCUCUCAUGAAUAUUAGGUGCAAAAACCCUAAAGAAAGGAUUCUUGUAGCAAAUCCAGUGGUGUGUUUUCAGAAGCAGUGUACAUGACCAGGCUGGUCUGUGUCCAGAGUGAGGUGUGUAGUAUCGGAAAGCACACCCACAUUAUUUGGUACAUUAAUAUGUUCAGGAAGGGCCAUUUAAUCAAUUCAUAAGAUUCAGAAAAAGCAUUUGAUAGAUAAAGUGAGUCUUGUACACCUUUGACACAAACGUACAGUGUAAAGCAUAGAAAUCUAAACACACACAAAUACUCUGAAAAAACUAUUUUUACUUUUACAGUCACCUUAGAAUGGUGGUACAGCACUUCCACGAUUUGUUCACAUCUGCCAGUGUUCCUAAUCCGCGGUCCGUUCGUAUCUGUGAAAGUUCACAACUUGAAUGUUUGUAAGUUGGGACGCUACUAUAAUAAGGAAAUUGGUAAACUGGCAAUAGACUGCAAUACUGAAGAGUAAGGAAAGACUCUAACUUGAUAAAGUGAUUCACUCAGAGGAGAAGUGGCCGGAGCAUUCUGUCAGGAGCCGCUGCCUGCCAUGGGCAGGUGUGAAGCAUGCAUACAGUCAAACAGGAAGGAGAAUGGGAGGCAGAGGGAGUGGAGAAAAGGAAAUAAAACUCACCUCCAUGGGUGGCCCAGUUGUCUGCAUAGUAAAUGUAAACAGGGAUCUAGCAAGGGCUGGCUGUGUGAGAUCAGUACAGAACUUCCUCAUUUUUCUCUAACCAUCUAUAAUUAGAAACAGUAGUUUACAUAAAGCCAGGAUUUAUAAUAGCGCCAAAAGUUCUGCGGUAUUCUUGGACAGAUCUAACAAAAGUUGUAUAGGACCUAUCAUGAAAAACUAUGGAACUUUGCUGAUGAAAAGCAUUCUAAAAGACCUGAACCACAAGUCCUGUUCAAAUACAGGAAGAGUUACUCUCAUAAAACUGUUGAAUUUACCAAAAGCUAUCUGUAGACCUAAGACCCCAGAAUGGCUUUGUGGAACUCAGUGUUGUGUUUCUCAAGCACGGUGGGCAGGGUAAAUGGUGAGGUGGCCCUGUCAACUUCGCGAGAGCCAGGACACUCUGCAGCUGUGUGCUGGGCUGUUGACCAGAGGCUUCAGGGCAAGCAGAGCUGCAGUGCUUGGCUCAGGGUGCCCAAGAGAGGUGGGAGCGCGUGCUUGGCACACGUCCACAGAGGCAGCUGCCAUUUCAUUCACAAUGGCCAGAAGCUGGGAGCAGCCCAGGCAUCCAUCAGUGGGAGGGGAGUGGCAGAGCCAUGGCACACCCUACACAGGCAGCCUGCUGUGGACAUCCCUACAGAAUGGCACAGAACCCAGGUUGCGAGCUUCCACCUAAAUGAAAUUCCAGAAGAUAUAAAUCUGUUCACCGUGACAGGCAGCAGAUCAGUGUUGGCCCUGCAGAGCCAGGGCAGGAAGGGCAGUGGGAGCUCCAUGGACUUGUCCUGCACCUUGGUCGAGGUGACAGCCAGCAGGGGCAGGUCUGUCCCCGGUGUGAGCGCUCGCACCAGCCUGCAGUCUGUUGUGCACAAACCAGGCCUCAGUGAAGUGGGAAGUAUGUCCACAGGCACAUACAUGGUUGUGUUAAGUCUAUAAAGAAAGAGUAAAAAGUUAGCACCAUAAAAAGCCAUGAUGGUUGUGUCUGGGAGGAGGAGGCCGGACUGUAAUUGAAGAAGGCACUGGGCACUGUUGCCUGGGCUCUGGUCCCAUGAGGUGACUGUGGUAUGCAGUUUUUCACUUUACUCUUUAUAUUUCGUACAUGUGUUACAAUUUGCAGAAAAAAUAAGUUUGGUUUACUGAUACCUUCCUAGAAAAGUUAAAAGAACAAGGAAGGCUACUUUUCCUAGCCAUUGUAAAGACAGAAAUCAAGCUGGGUGUGGUGGCACACACCAGUAACCCCAGCACUCGGGAGGCUGAGCCAGGAACCCUUCUAUGGGUUCAAGGAUGGCCUGAGUUACAUAAUGAGUUUCAGGCCAGUCUGGAGUACACAGUGAGACCCUGUCUCAAAAAAGAAAGAAAGAAAUUGAAAAAUAAAAUGUGGGAAUGUAAGUAAGGUCAGUGCAGGAUUGGGGUCAAUCCUCAGUACUGCAAAAAGUAAAAAAUAUAUAUGUAGGGCUGGGGAUUUAGCUCAGUGGUUUCGCUGCCUGCUGUGCAAGCCCAAGGACCCAAGUUCGAUCCCCGGUACCAAAAACAAACAAAUAAACAACAACAAAAAAAUAUAUAUAUAUAUAUGAAUGAAAAAGCUGGGGAUGUAGCUGAGUGUGAAGGCCCUGAUUUCAAUCCCCAUUACCAAUUAAAUAAAGUAAAAGACUUAGAAAGUCUCAGCUAUUAAAACUGACACUGGGCUGGGGAUUUAGCUCAGUAGUUUCGGCACCUGCUGCGCAAGUGCAAGGACCCGAGUUCGAUCCCUGGUACCUAAAAAAAAAAAACUGACACUGAUGUAUAGUCAACAGACCCUGAUGCUGGUACAGACACAAACCCCAGGGACAGCUGUGAAACACUGAACCUCGGCUUAUGAUAGUGGAUUGGCCAGUGCUGCGGAAAUCCAUAUUCACAGAUGGAGGGGUGGCGAGUGCCCGGAAGGAGCCAGCUGAAGUCACAUCCCCACCCCACCCCACAUCCAGGGUAGCUCCUGUGGGCUGCAUUCUCAGGGUCCAAAGCACCUCUGGCUGGUGUAGCUCAGUUGUAGAGCAUGCACAGCAUACAUGAGGCCCUGGUUCCAUCCCUAGCAGCAGCCCAAAACAAUAAAACAAGGGCCGGGGAUUUAGCUCAGUGGUUCCUCUGCCUGCCUUACAAGCACAAGGUCCCAAGUUCGAUCCCUGGUACCAAAAAAAGAACAAAACAAUAAAACAAAACUUUCAAUUUGGGAGAAAAUCAAGAUGAAUAUGUUUCUGAUAUCAGAGUAGGGAAAGAUUUCUAGUUCAGAGCCAGCCUGAGCUUUUGGGGUGGGGGGGAUGAGAAAGGGUCUUACUAUGUAGCCCAGGCUGGCCUCGAACUUGUGGCAGUCCUUCUGCCUCACCCUCCAAGGGCUGGGAUUACAGGUAUGUACUAUUACGCCCAGCUUUGAGCAAUUGAGCAAGACCCUUUCUCAAAAUUUUUUAAAGGUGGGGGUCUGGGGAUCUAGUUCAUGGUUGGCUUUAAUUCUCAGUUCAGAAAAAAAAAAGGAAAAACCAGCCAAGUACAGUGGUGUGCAUCUCUGGUGCUACCUACCAGGAGGCUGAGGCAGGAAGAUCACUUGAGCCCAGGAAUUUUAGAUUAGUUGGGCAACACUUUGAGAGCUUGUCGAUCAAGACUGACAAAUUAUACUACUUUGAGAUCAAGGAUUGGUCUUAAAGUGUAUUUGCAGCACAUGACAAGGAUGCUAAAAAGUGUGAAGAUACAUUAGAGAAGAGGGUGGGAAAGCCAGUUGGAAACCAGCAGGGUCGCUCUGCAGGAUGGGACUAGCAGGCAGGGGGCUGGCAUCUCGGCCUGGCCAGGAAGCCACUGGAAGCAGCCAUAAGCUCUGUCCUGCUGGGUUGUAGAGCCGUAGGGUCCUUGCCCUGCUCCCGUGUAGACCCCAGCAGGCAGCACUGGGGAAGGAAAUCGGCAGGCUGCGGGAUGCCCAGUUCCACCCAGGAGGCCAGCAGCCAGGGCUCUGCAGUGUCUUAACACGGCCCCCAAGCUGAACAAAUGCCACUGGGGAAGAAGCCAGAGAGAGAUGAUCCCACUGCAGAUGGCCAGGCUGCUGUGCAGGAUGCACGCGGAGGUCACAAACCAUGAGGGCCAGGGAGUGGCGCCUCCCGCAGAGGACGGCGGGGCAGUGCCGAGUCUGCGCCCUGGGACCCUCUUGUGCGUGUUCUGCGUGCCUAGUGCAUGUGACUCAGUCCACGGCUGACAGUGCAGGGGCACCAGUGUGGGGCACAGGUCUCAUGGGUUUCGUGCCGUGCUUGAGGCUUUGUUGGAAGCCUUGUUGUGCUUUGAAUUGGAUUUUUGUUUGUUCAUUUUUCAGUUUUUUGAGGUAUGGUCUUGGUGUAUAUAUCCCAGGCUGGCCUCGGAAGUUCCAGCCCUCUCACCUCAGCCUCCUGAGUGCUGGGACUUCAGGCGUGCACCGUGCACAUGACUCUUUGGAGAUUCUCUGGGAUGGUGCUGAGCGGAGAUGUGGUUGAUGUUUGUGAGCAGUAUCUGUAUAGAGAAGCGAGUGGGGAUCCGGCCCCCCACAGUAACACAGGCAGUCAGGCCAGAGGUGUGUGCCAAUUUGGGGGAGCAGCAGAGGCAGAAGUAGAAGCUUUGAGGAAGUGAAAGAGGUUGCGUCACAGGCUUGGCAUGGCCAGCUGGGGCCAAGGAGGGGAAUUGGGACUCUGAGACAUGGCGCCCUGCUGCUGGGUGGUCAGCACACAGCUGAGUUGGACAAAGGUUUGUGGCUGGGUGACUGAACCGCGGCUAAGCAAACACCAUUUCCAAUUUCAUUCUGAUUUCUGCCCCCAAAUUAGAGCUGGAAUGAUGAGAACUUCAGAAAUUAUGCAAGCGCUUUUAAAUAAAAGAAAUUGUUCUUUCCUUUUUUAAUACAAAAAUUGGCCAAUGUUGCCUGGGAAACAGGACAAAGCAUGUUUGUUUCCAAAGCAUUGUGCAGGGGAACCUGCAGGGCAGCCCAUGGCCCGAAGGGAGGGGGGCGAGGCUGUGGCCCUGCCUCACUGUCAUGGGCACCACGUGCACACCGUGCUGUGGGAUCGUGAACCCUCAGCUUUCCACGCUUGGUCCUGGUCAUGUGGUCCCAGCUGUGGACCAGACCCAGCACACCCCAGGAGUAUUUUACAUUAAAGUAGUUGGGGAACAAAAGAGUAUCUUGUGCUGGAUGCGCCUGAUGCAUGCCUAUAAUCCAAGCUGAGACAGGGAUCUCCAGUUCAAUUUAGCAAGACCCUGCCCCAAAAUUUAAAAAAAAAAUCAUAAUGGGCUGGGAUGGAUGCAUCACAGUGGCAGAGCACUUGCCUGCUAUGUAGCAGGCCCUGGGUUCAAUCCCCAGCCCAGCAAAAAAAACAAAAUGUGGCACAUUACAGCUGUGCAAGCCAGGGGCUUCACUGCCUGGAGUUGAGCUUGCUGUGGCCACAAGUGCAGUGUGCACGUUGGACAACUAACUAUAGGACGGGGCCUGCAGCACUGACUGGUCCCUUGCAAAAAAUGAGUGCUGGCCCCAGCAGGCACUGUGGCAGGUGAGGCCCAGGUUGCCUGCCCAACCGUGGCUCUCCCGUGCCAUCAGCCAUUGAGGACUGCAGUGCCUCUGCCUGAGACUCAGGCUCCUCCUAUUGCCCUAAGCACAUCUGUCCCUGUGGUCAGCUCAGGUCACUGCCUAGGGCUGCAGGGCGACUGUGUGACUCCCUGCUGCCCAGCCUCAGCGUAGCUGCCCAGCCUCAGCGUAGCUGCCCAGAUGGGCUGUUGCAGGGUCCUGUGUCCCGCAGCCUCUGUGAUGGCUUAAGCCUGAGAUGCCAUACCCUCUAAUCCUGCUUCCUGCUUCUGCAGCCCUGCCCUUGUCUGAGGAACACAGCUACAACCCUGUCCCUGCGCCCCAGCAGGCUGUGCUGUGGUGUGGUAGCCUUCACUGCCUGUUCAGGGAACAGAGCCUGCAGGUGUCCAUCUCCGGGCGCCUCAGAGGGGCAGCGGUGACCCAAGGCCCUUCCUCCUUGUCUAAGAUGCAGCCUCCUUAGAAGGGCAGGGUUGUGGCCAACAAGACGCCUCCCUUGGGCCUGUGGUGGGGUAGGGGCCUGCACCCCUCCCACCCCAGAGCCCAGCCCUAACGAGCACAGUGGAAAGUGAUGGCAGAAGGCAGCAGAAAAGGCCCAGGCCCAGUGGCCGCCUGCACAGGAGCCUGGCCCCUCCAGGUGCCCUGGCUGAGCCCCCAAUGAGCUAGCAAGAACACAGGGCGUCAGCCUGGCUCAAUUCCUGCCUGGCUGUGCCUGUCUCCUUCAGUGACUGUCCAGCAUUUUGUCUUUGCAGGUUCUGCUUGGACUCUGCUCGACAGACCCGCAAAGACUGUCCAUCAACUGGUCCAAUUUCAGUUUGAAGAAAGCCACCUUUGCUGCCCACUGAGUGGGGACUGCCGGAAAAGGGACGCACAGGAGGGGGCCGUCACCCAAGAGCCAUGCCUUGCAGGCCCCCUGAGCCGUGUGCCUGCCUGGGCCUGGAGCCCCAGCCCGGCCCUUGCUGCCAGCCCGGCCCGAGUUGUUAGCUCGCGUGCGUGUAGUCUGUGAGUGAGACUCCUUGAUUGUAGCCGUGCUGUCAGAUCGGAACAGUAGUUCCCACCUCUUCUUCCACCACCUCAGCCUCCGAGGCCUGGGCUGUGGCCAGAGACGAGUUUGCAUCAGCCAUGUGGCCCAUGGCCCCUGCGUCCUCGCCCCGUCCUCCCAUCUGUCCCACCGGGUGUGGCUGUCCCUCAGCUCCUGCGUGCCCUGCGAUCACCGAUCACCAAGGCGGCUGGGCGGGCAGGCCUCCUCCAUGCCCCACGAUCUACUGUUUCCGAGUGUACACGUUGCGCUGUUUGUGUUUGCCCCCGACUCGUAGCCAGCCUGUGUAAGACCCUUUGAGUGAGAACGUUGACGACAAAGCCCACCCAGCACUCACCAUCCAGUCCGUUUAGAGCGUAUGACCGUAUUAACACGGAGGCCUGCCUGGCUACUUUUUAACAUAUUGUUAAGUAAUAUUAAAAUCAUGUCUUUCUUUUUGAAAGAUGGAAUACAUUAGUACAGCAGGA
Molecule: long non-coding RNA, 10607 nt
Filed under: Heterocephalus glaber (naked mole-rat)
Lineage: Eukaryota; Metazoa; Chordata; Mammalia; Rodentia; Bathyergidae
Description: lncRNA (ENSHGLG00000045593.1)
Source: RNAcentral